CAGAGAAUAGUUUAAGGGAAAAUAUUAAUUUUGGGGAUUAAGGAUAGAUGAUUUAUCUUUCUCUGA
This 66-nucleotide transfer RNA is filed under the name Acheta domesticus (house cricket). RNAcentral describes it as "tRNA-Pro". Lineage: Eukaryota; Metazoa; Arthropoda; Insecta; Orthoptera; Gryllidae. The record is from RNAcentral.